AAUCACGACAUUGUAAGAUGCUGUGAUUGCAUCUUACAGCAUCUUACAAAGCUGUGACUGC
RNAcentral lists this microRNA precursor (61 nucleotides) under Oreochromis niloticus (Nile tilapia). Its description in RNAcentral is "microRNA oni-mir-10689 precursor". The record is from miRBase by way of RNAcentral. Lineage: Eukaryota; Metazoa; Chordata; Actinopteri; Cichliformes; Cichlidae.